Molecule: ribosomal RNA, 253 nt
Filed under: uncultured bacterium
Lineage: Bacteria
Description: partial 16S ribosomal RNA
Rfam family: Bacterial small subunit ribosomal RNA
Source: RNAcentral
GACAGAGGGGGCAAGCGUUGCUCGGAAUCACUGGGCGUAAAGGGCGCGUAGGCGGGAUGGCAAGUCGGUCGUGAAAUCCCCGGGCUCAACCUGGGAACUGCAUCUGUGACUGCAUUGCUGGAGUGCGGCAGAGGGGGAUGGAAUUCCGCGUGUAGCAGUGAAAUGCGUAGAUAUGCGGAGGAACACCGAUGGCGAAGGCAAUCCCCUGGGCCUGCACUGACGCUCAUGCACGAAAGCGUGGGGAGCAAACAGG